GACGGAGGAUGCAAGUGUUAUCCGGAAUCACUGGGCGUAAAGCGUCUGUAGGUGGUCAAAUAAGUCAACUGUUAAAUCUUGAGGCUCAACCUCGAAAUCGCAGUCGAAACUAUUAGACUAGAGUAUAGUAGGCGUAAAGGGAAUUUCCAGUGGAGCGGUGAAAUGCGUAGAGAUUGGAAAGAACACCGAUGGCGAAGGCACUUUACUGGGCUAUUACUAACACUCAGUGACGAAAGCUAGGGUAGCAAAUGCG
RNAcentral lists this ribosomal RNA (253 nucleotides) under uncultured bacterium. Its description in RNAcentral is "partial 16S ribosomal RNA". It matches the Rfam family "Bacterial small subunit ribosomal RNA", at positions 524 to 776 of the family's 1533-position model. The record is from RNAcentral.